Molecule: long non-coding RNA, 1032 nt
Organism: Ooceraea biroi (clonal raider ant)
Lineage: Eukaryota; Metazoa; Arthropoda; Insecta; Hymenoptera; Formicidae
Source: RefSeq, a predicted model, not a curated record
GCGACGCACAGCUGGCGCAGGAGGGAAACAACGUCGUCGGCCCUGUGGCUACCAGACGCCUGGAGAACGACGAAGGAUGAUGCGCAGCUGCGGCGGGCGAGGACAAAGUGGGGCAGGUCGAAGAAGAGUUUCGGCGCCCGCGGAAAACGGAGGAGAAGUAAUAUCUUGAGCUGGUCCACACAAAAUCGUUAACGUACUCGUCCCCGAGCAAUUCCGCGCGUUCGACAUUCUUCAUCCACGUUAACGAUUCGGCCGAAUCUCGGCGAUCGCAGCAAGAAUUCUGGGAGACGAUUCGAGUUCUAAGAUCCGUUCUAAUUACUCUGAAAUCUUUAGUCUUGCUAAUUAUAUAAUAUAUAUUUAAUUAUAUAAUGUAUACUUAUAUGAUGUAUAAAAACAUACAUUUUUAUCCCCUGUUAUCCUUGCCUUACAAAUUCUACAGUUAGCUGCAUUUCAAACGACCUCGAAAAUGCAGGGAUCAUUCAAACCGUUCUCCAAUCACUUUUUCCGGCAUUAUCUCUCGGAUAUCUGUACUGUUGACCAUCCCGCCCGGGUAGCAACACCGACGAAGACGGAGAGACGAGAAGCUCUCUUGUAGAGGGGAAUGAGGGUCGAAGCGCCAACCAACGCGAUACAUCGUCCGCUCAUCUUUUCCGUGGUGCUCGUACGACGAGAGAACUUCACGCGAUUAAUAUUACGCUUGCGCGAAAAUUGAAAUAUCCUAACGACGUGAUUGUCUGCGCCAUUCUUUCAUUAUUUAUCGGCAUGCGUUCAAUUUAAAUGCGCGCGCAAUGCGGUCGCACUUUCAUCGUGCGAUUGAAACAUUAGUCUUGCGUUUAAUAUCGCAAUCACUUUGUGCGACGAAAAUUCGUGCACGUGCAACGCAGAUGCACGAAUACGAGCUAUUUUCCGAGAACAGUUUAAUUGUUAAUUUGUAUUAUAUCUCGUACGGAUAUUGUACAAAAGUGUUUUAUAAAGUUAUAGUUAUCGAAUAUUGUCAAUUUUACAAAUUUCAAUAUAAUUUUUUUCGGAACA